GCCCUGUGUGGGUGGGGUCACAGAUGCCUUAUUAUAGCCCAAAUCCCCCCUGAAAAAAGCAAUCAGGGCUUCAAUAAAUCAAUUAACCAGUUAAUUAGCUCACAGAACGACAAAAGCCCAACUGAUAAAUCAGAUUUACCCUUUUAUGAGGAUUGUCCUCUGCUAAUUUAAGGAGUUCCGUGACUUACCCAGAAGCCUCUGUCAGGGCCUCCUGGAUUGUCCAUGUCCAGGGCUCUGGGCGCCACCACCGCUCAUGGGUGACCUUGAGAACGCUGUCUCUACGCCAGGUUAGUGACAGAGAGCUGACGCACAGAGGGUGGACUGAACAUGGCUGCUUUCACUCUCGAUCCAAGGGACCUUUCACAAGGCAAGGCUUCCAGAGCCCUGGAUAAAGAGAACGGGAGACAGGGCGGCAACAAAGCUGGCAAGGAGCGGAAGUGGUACCCGAGGCCGAGGCCCAGGUCGGCUCCACCGUGUCUCCCUGAGGAAAGCCAAGCUGGGGCUCAGCUGGAAGUGGCCCGGCUCCCUGCUGACUCGGGCACCAGCACUGUCACCCAUGGUGCCCGUGGCUUUCUGAAAGGCUUCAGCUUGC
This 592-nucleotide long non-coding RNA is filed under the name Heterocephalus glaber (naked mole-rat). Its description in RNAcentral is "lncRNA (ENSHGLG00000042338.1)". The record is from RNAcentral. Lineage: Eukaryota; Metazoa; Chordata; Mammalia; Rodentia; Bathyergidae.